RNAcentral lists this long non-coding RNA (449 nucleotides) under Manacus vitellinus (golden-collared manakin). RNAcentral's name for it is "lncRNA (ENSMVIG00005011620.1)". Lineage: Eukaryota; Metazoa; Chordata; Aves; Passeriformes; Pipridae. The record is from RNAcentral.
CAGCCUGGCAGUAUUGAACCUGUUGCUGCAUUAGCCGAGUUGUAUUUUGCUAGAUAGGGGAAGGAGGGUUGUCUGCUGUCUGGUAGGAGGGCUUUGUCUGUGUGCGCCUUUCUCUCUCUCCCUCUCUCGCUCUCCCUGUCUCUCGCACUCUCGCUCGCUCUCGCUCGCUCUCUCUCGCUCGCUCUCCCUUUCCCGUCUCUGUGGUUUGUAAGCAGCACAAGAGAGAAGUGUUGAGAGCUGCUCUUAACCCUUUUGGAGUCCGAAGUCAAAAGGUAAAACCAAAUGCUAAUUUUUAUGUUUCUGAAGGUGUUGAUACCAUAAUUGUUUGGAAAUGCUGUUUCCUUAUCACAUUUGAAUGGAGAUUUCCCACAGGAGAAAAUCAGGGAUAAAGUAAGAAGAAUCAAAACAUUAUUAGACCUCUUUAAGAGCCACCAGCAUAUCUGGGCAUA